GAUGAACGCUGGCGGCGUGCCUAAUACAUGCAAGUCGAGCGAACGGACGAGAAGCUUGCUUCUCUGAUGUUAGCGGCGGACAGGUGAGUAACACGUGGAUAACCUACCUAUAAGACUGGGAUAACUUCGGGAAACCGGAGCUAAUACCGGAUAAUAUUUUGAACCGCAUGGUUCAAAAGUGAAAGACGGUCUUGCUGUCACUUAUAGAUGGAUCCGCGCUGCAUUAGCUAGUUGGUAAGGUAACGGCUUACCAAGGCAACGAUGCAUAGCCGACCUGAGAGGGUGAUCGGCCACACUGGAACUGAGACACGGUCCAGACUCCUACGGGAGGCAGCAGUAGGGAAUCUUCCGCAAUGGGCGAAAGCCUGACGGAGCAACGCCGCGUGAGUGAUGAAGGUCUUCGGAUCGUAAAACUCUGUUAUUAGGGAAGAACAUAUGUGUAAGUAACUGUGCACAUCUUGACGGUACCUAAUCAGAAAGCCACGGCUAACUACGUGCCAGCAGCCGCGGUAAUACGUAGGUGGCAAGCGUUAUCCGGAAUUAUUGGGCGUAAAGCGCGCGUAGGCGGUUUUUUAAGUCUGAUGUGAAAGCCCACGGCUCAACCGUGGAGGGUCAUUGGAAACUGGAAAACUUGAGUGCAGAAGAGGAAAGUGGAAUUCCAUGUGUAGCGGUGAAAUGCGCAGAGAUAUGGAGGAACACCAGUGGCGAAGGCGACUUUCUGGUCUGUAACUGACGCUGAUGUGCGAAAGCGUGGGGAUCAAACAGGAUUAGAUACCCUGGUAGUCCACGCCGUAAACGAUGAGUGCUAAGUGUUAGGGGGUUUCCGCCCCUUAGUGCUGCAGCUAACGCAUUAAGCACUCCGCCUGGGGAGUACGACCGCAAGGUUGAAACUCAAAGGAAUUGACGGGGACCCGCACAAGCGGUGGAGCAUGUGGUUUAAUUCGAAGCAACGCGAAGAACCUUACCAAAUCUUGACAUCCCUUGACAACUCUAGAGAUAGAGCCUUCCCCUUCGGGGGACAAAGUGACAGGUGGUGCAUGGUUGUCGUCAGCUCGUGUCGUGAGAUGUUGGGUUAAGUCCCGCAACGAGCGCAACCCUUAAGCUUAGUUGCCAUCAUUAAGUUGGGCACUCUAAGUUGACUGCCGGUGACAAACCGGAGGAAGGUGGGGAUGACGUCAAAUCAUCAUGCCCCUUAUGAUUUGGGCUACACACGUGCUACAAUGGACAAUACAAAGGGCAGCGAAACCGCGAGGUCAAGCAAAUCCCAUAAAGUUGUUCUCAGUUCGGAUUGUAGUCUGCAACUCGACUACAUGAAGCUGGAAUCGCUAGUAAUCGUAGAUCAGCAUGCUACGGUGAAUACGUUCCCGGGUCU
Molecule: ribosomal RNA, 1372 nt
Filed under: uncultured bacterium
Lineage: Bacteria
Description: bacterial SSU rRNA
Rfam family: Bacterial small subunit ribosomal RNA
Source: RNAcentral